GUCAGAUUGAAAAAACAUAGUCUAUAAAGGGUUCAGUACUAUCUGAGGUUUCAGGCACCCACUAGGGUUCUUGGAAUGUAUCUCCUCCUGCAGAUAAGGGAAGAUGACUGUAUAACAAGGGGUUCAGUACUAUCUGAGGUUUCAGGCAUCCACUGGGAGUCUUGGAAUGUAUCUCUUGCAGAUAAGGGGAGACUACUGUGUUACAUUUCAGCUUCCAUAAAACUUUACUAAUUUGGAUUAAGAACACAAGCCUGAUUUAGUAAAAAGUAUCCAUAAAUAUUCAGAGGUAUAGUUUUGUUUCAUCAAGUAAAAAGAGCAACUAAUUCCAACUGUUGAAGUAGUAACAAGUAAAG
RNAcentral lists this long non-coding RNA (353 nucleotides) under Homo sapiens (human). RNAcentral describes it as "HSALNT0301527". The record is from RNAcentral. Lineage: Eukaryota; Metazoa; Chordata; Mammalia; Primates; Hominidae.